AGUGAAUAGAUACCCGGGUAGUCCACGCUGUAAACGAUGAGUGCUGGACGUUGGCGGGUUUACCUGCCGGUGUCGCAGCUAAACGCGUUAAGCACUCCGCCUGGGGAGUACGGCCGCAAGGUUAAAACUCAAAGGAAUUGACGGGGCCCGCACAAGCGGUGGAGCAUGUGGUUUAAUUCGACGCAACGCGCAGAACCUUACCAGCCCUUGACAUGGGCGGACGGGGUCCAGAGAUGGACUCUUUCUCGCAAGAGACCGCUACACAGGUGCUGCAUGGCUGUCGUCAGCUCGUGUCGUGAGAUGUUGGGUUAAGUCCCGCAACGAGCGCAACCCUCGUCUCCAGUUGCCAUCGGGUAGAGCCGGGCAC
This 367-nucleotide ribosomal RNA is filed under the name uncultured bacterium. RNAcentral's name for it is "bacterial SSU rRNA". It matches the Rfam family "Bacterial small subunit ribosomal RNA", at positions 774 to 1138 of the family's 1533-position model. The record is from RNAcentral.